This 393-nucleotide ribosomal RNA is filed under the name uncultured bacterium. RNAcentral's name for it is "partial 16S ribosomal RNA". It matches the Rfam family "Bacterial small subunit ribosomal RNA", at positions 523 to 918 of the family's 1533-position model. The record is from RNAcentral.
AUACGGAGGAUGCGAGCGUUAUCCGGAUUUAUUGGGUUUAAAGGGUGCGUAGGCUGUGCGUUAAGUCAGGGGUGAAAUGCCGUCGCUCAACGACGGAGCUGCCCUUGAUACUGGCGUGCUGGAGUACGGAUGCCGUUGGAGGAAUGAGUUGUGUAGCGGUGAAAUGCUUAGAUAUCACUCAGAACACCGAUUGCGAAGGCAUCUGACGAAUCCGUCACUGACGCUGAGGCACGAAAGCGUGGGGAUAGAACAGGAUUAGAUACCCUGGUAUUCCACGCCGUAAACGAUGAUGACUAACCGUCGGCGAUAGACAGCCGGUGGCCAAGCGAAAGCGAUAAGUCAUCCACCUGGGGAGUACGUCGGCAACGAUGAAACUCAAAGGAAUUGACGGGG